RNAcentral lists this transfer RNA (70 nucleotides) under Narcine timlei (blackspotted numbfish). RNAcentral's name for it is "tRNA-Glu". It matches the Rfam family "tRNA". From Rfam's summary of the family: Transfer RNA (tRNA) molecules are approximately 80 nucleotides in length. Lineage: Eukaryota; Metazoa; Chordata; Chondrichthyes; Torpediniformes; Narcinidae. The record is from RNAcentral.
GUCUUUAUAGUUGAAUUAACAACGGUGGUUUUUCAGGUCAUAAGUCUUAGUUAAAAUCUAGGUGAAGAUA